Long non-coding RNA from Equus asinus (donkey), 3978 nucleotides. NCBI's taxonomy places the organism in Eukaryota, Metazoa, Chordata, Mammalia, Perissodactyla, Equidae. The record is from Ensembl.
GUUGAGGCAGCGUCCCACAUGCCACAACCAGAAGGACCCACAACUAAAAAUACACAACUAUAUGCUGGGGGGGAUUUGGGGAGAAAAAAAGCAGAAAAAAACAUUGGCAACAGUUGUUAGCUCAAGUGCCAAUCUUUAAAAAAGAAAAAAAGGGAGUCAUACGUAGGAUUAUUGAUUCUUUAUUUUGCCAAGUAAGGAUGUUAAAAAUAUCUCCUAUCACCAUUAUUUUGUAAAAGGAAGAACACUUUAAUAGUAACAGGGCAGGAAUGACAUUAUUUCAGAAUAAAGGGGCAUCUUUCCCAGGGAUGGUGGUCGGCCACCUCAUGGUGACGUGUUUGUUCUGUGGCUUCAGUUUUCCCAUUUUGCUGUGGACUGGUGAGCACUUUGUCACAGUUUGGUGUUUGGAGAGCAUUCCUCUGCUCAAGAUUGCUUAGGGAGUAGAAGCUUGUGAAGUGAUAAAAAUGUCAUUCUUUUUUGAAAAGUAGUCAUUGAACGGGAGAUGAAACAGUAAAAGUUGAAGAUGAAGCUAACUUGUGGCGUGGCACAGGUACAGGAGAGAAAGGCUCCUGUUUCGGACUGUGAUUUGGGGUGUGUCGAGAGCAGGUGCAAACUUUUCCACGUUCUCAGGUAGGUCUGGGGUGGGAUCAAGAGAUUUAAGAAUUAGUUACUUUCUUAAAUCUUUAGAGUUCUGACUGAAUUUCCUCCUGGCUCCCAAGAACCCUUGUUGAUCUUGCUCACAUUUUCCAAGCCCACCUUCCCAUCCUUGUCCUGCACCUCACACUCCCAUCCCUUGUGUGAGACCCCAGCCGUCGUACACCCCCCCAGAACCUCUCCACAGCGUAGCGCCAGUGCUGAGAGCAUGACCCCGCAUUUGUCUCUCGCCCCCUCUGCUCUGCGGAGCUGCGGCGGGCGGAGCCACCUGCCCUUCUGCAGCCUCAUUGCGUCUCCUCCGUCUGGCUCCUCCUCCUUUUCUCUUCCCCACCGCACAAAACACAGAGUUGUUCCUGCCAGAACCUGGGCAUUCUCCCUGAAGCAUCCGUCACUUUCACGUUCACCUCGUUACCUAUUCCUGAAGGGUUUACUCCCAAAUACAGACCGUGCUGCCAGCCCAGUCCCCGUCACUGUCACCGCUUGCCUGGGCUGGUACAAUGGUUCCUCUUGAUCCCCAUCAAUCCACUCUUCACACAGUAGGAAUGUCUUUCUUAAAAGGGAAAUUGUGUCCUGUCAUACUCCCUGUCCAAAACUCUGAGGACGUUUGGCACAAAAAUGAAAAAAAAAAAAACCCCAGAAGGGCACACAUGGUCUGCCCAUGAGCUGGCUCCAACCUCUUCUCGAGCUACUUGCCGUUUCCUUCACCACGCUGACACGUGGGGGCUUAGACUUCCUGGAGCACUCAGGGCAGGGACCACGUGUGUUUCUUCUGAUUGGAAAGUCUCCCCGGCUCCCCACUCUGCCUGUUCCCCUCCAGACCACAAGCUUCCUGAGGACAGACCCGUGACUGCCCCUCGUGAAUCAAGAACGAGCAGCAAGCACAGCCCCAGGCAGAGAGAAUGAAGUGUUUUCUGGGAGCUGAGCUGCUGUUGCACCCCCUUCCCGAUUCCCUCUGAAUUUUGCAUGAUGUCUUAUUUGCUAAUUAUCUCUACUUUGCAGUUUAGCCUUUCACUCCAUGCUCAUAUAGUCCUUACUUUUAUUUCGUGGAUGUGAUUGAUCUCAGCUGUCCUGUGAGCUUCCUGUAAACAGCAGUGGGGGCUUUUUCUCUCCUGCAUCCUCAGGGUAACAGUGAGGGCGGGCUGAGUCCUCGAUCAGUCACCAGACGUCCACUGUCUCGGGGACAUUAUUUCCUGCUCCGCCUGUGUCCAGUGUGGCCAGCAGGGGUUCUGGUUGCGCGUUUUCUCAGGGGUCUGGGCUAACGGGAGGCUUCACCCUGAUGCCCGCUUCCCUGAUGAAAACGCAGUGGAAGGAAACAUGACACACCACGCUGUUGGCUUGUACAGCUUCUGCCAGGAUGUGACGCAUGUCAUUGGCUCAAGCAAGUCACAUGGCCAUGCCUGAUUUCAGGUGGGUGGGCGAGAGACCCUCCUGUGCACCUGGCAAGAGGAGUUGGGGACAUGCUUCGAGCUUGCUGCCUGCAGAGCCUGCCCAGUGCCGGGGUCCUGGUGGGAGCUCCAGCAUUCGCACUUGACUGAAGUGUGGAAACACCUGGAGGGAUAGAUGUGGCCCAAGGCGAAGGAGAAGGCAGCUGGUGGUUGAAAAUGAAGAAAGUGUUGCUACAGUGUAUUUGCACUCUCCUGGUUUCAACUUCCCUUCUAAAAUCUGGAAAUAGGGAAAGCUCUAGAGAGUACUUCAAGUUGGAGGACCUGUGUGAACACCUGCCCUUAUGCAGGAAAUAGCUGUGUGCUGACUAGUGACCUGCUCUUCACCCUGAUACUGCCGAUGAUUUGAGUGACUGCAGAUGUUGACCUGCAAAAAACAUCUGUGGACAGCAUGAACCCGGGAGGGGAGUGAGUGAUUUGAGUGGUGGAAUUGUGAUCCGAUGCUAGAAUUAUGUGCUGGGGUAAUGGGUUCACGCUAAGGGAUCAGUGUGUGAUGUUUGGCAGCGCUUUGAACAACAGCAUUGUGAAAAAUCUCUCAGACUUUCUGUUGACACAACUGGUACUGUUACUCGAUAGUGGAAUGUGCUGGCCAAAUGAGCUGAUGGAAUGUCAGUUUGUCCACAUGGGAGCACGACGCCCAGGACUGGGGAGGGGCUCAGGGACUCUGCUCAGGAGUGUUUGGAAGCUUGAGCUCAGUUUGGGGCGUCACCAUUUGAGGGACCUCGACAGAUGAGCUUGCCCAGAGGAUAGUCAUGGGGUUGCCAAUGAACAAGAACAACCAAGGAGCAGAUGAAAGAGCUGGGUUGGUUUACCCUAGAGAGGAGAGAGACUAGAGUGGGGCAGUGAGGGAUGGAGAGGGCAGGUCUUCAGACAAUCAGAGGGCCACCAAGUAGAAGAGGGAAUUAACUUUAUUUUGCUUCAGAAGAUAGAAUAAAGUUGGGUUAUAGGGACACUGAUUUUGACUCAUGGUCAGGAAUAGAAGCCUUUGAAAGUCAGGUCUCUUGUGGGUCAUGUCAUCAAGGGGAUUUAUGAAUCCAAAUUGUACCGUGACCAACCAUCCCAGUUUGCCCAAGACUGAGAAGUUUUCUAAGACUUGGGACUUUCAGUGCUAAAAUCAGAAAACUCCCAGGCAAACUGGAUGAAGUGGCCCCCCUACCAAAGAGGAUCGCCUUAAUGUAGUUGCAGGUCUCUUCCAAUUUGGAGAUGCUGUGAUUUCUAAGAUAGAUGUGUUGAUUUUCCCAGAAAAAUUUUAGGCAAAGCAAUGAUUCUUAUACAGCUUUUUUCCAAUCCCUGCUUCAUUUACUCACAGAGGAGUUUCACAUGCUUUGAGCAAUUGUUCCACAUUUGUGUUUAAGAUUUAAUCAUUGCUGCUAGACUCAUGCCCUGCAAUUGUAUCACAUGAUCAGGUGAACAUUUCCCUGCAAGUCCAAAGUCAUUCAUUACAUAAAUGAGCAUUUUAGAAACGAAGAGCUGCACCUUUCUUAAGAAACCACAGUGGAUAAUUUCUCGAUUGUCUGAAUUGCUGUUAUUCUUGGGUGAAGCAUUAAGGACGUGAACAGCAGUACAGGAGGUUAAAUAGUUCCAUCAUAAUGAAAUUUCGCUUGGAUUACGCACAAUGAAAGAGCUGUUUGUGUUCAACACGUCCUUGUAGGAACUGUAUUCUGUUCUUUCAAUCACUUAUUGUAUUUCUGAUUCCAGAAUAAAUUUCUUGAGUCAAACUGCAACCUUGUAGCUUUGUUUAUUCUUUGGGGUUCAGUGUUUGUGUAUCAGGACCAGGACCUCUACAAAGAGGCUUUGUCGUUUUCUCCUGGCGUUCUUCCUGGCGACCUGCUACCUGCCCACCCUCACUGUUUAACUUGAAUAAAACCGUAGAGAGACUUACGAG